AGUCAUCAACCCCUUCCGUUUAGUGCGGACCGGGUUGGAUGUGGGGGCUCUGCUGCCGCGAGGCGGCUCCCCUCAAAUGCAUCGGUUGGGCCUGUGGGUCGAACUCGACUGGGCGUUGUACCAUCCUCGCUCGACAGAGACGUUCCCCUAUUGCGCCCUUCCCCGACCUGCCUCUCAGAGUGGCGGUCACAAGCAAAGCUUUGAAAU
RNAcentral lists this unclassified non-coding RNA (207 nucleotides) under uncultured Trechispora. RNAcentral's name for it is "sequence contains ITS2". The record is from RNAcentral. Lineage: Eukaryota; Fungi; Basidiomycota; Agaricomycetes; Polyporales; Polyporaceae.